This 765-nucleotide ribosomal RNA is filed under the name uncultured bacterium. RNAcentral's name for it is "bacterial SSU rRNA". It matches the Rfam family "Bacterial small subunit ribosomal RNA", at positions 100 to 860 of the family's 1533-position model. The record is from RNAcentral.
GAACGGGUGAGUAAUGUAUCGGAACGUACCUUUCAGUGGGGGAUAACGUAGCGAAAGUUACGCUAAUACCGCAUAUUCUGUGAGCAGGAAAGCAGGGGAUCGCAAGACCUUGCGCUGAUUGAGCGGCCGAUAUCAGAUUAGCUAGUUGGUGAGGUAAAGGCUCACCAAGGCGACGAUCUGUAGCGGGUCUGAGAGGAUGAUCCGCCACACUGGAACUGAGACACGGUCCAGACUCCUACGGGAGGCAGCAGUGGGGAAUUUUGGACAAUGGGGGCAACCCUGAUCCAGCCAUGCCGCGUGAGUGAAGAAGGCCUUCGGGUUGUAAAGCUCUUUCGGCCGGGAAGAAAUCGCAUAGGUUAAUACCCUGUGUGGAUGACGGUACCGGAAUAAGAAGCACCGGCUAACUACGUGCCAGCAGCCGCGGUAAUACGUAGGGUGCGAGCGUUAAUCGGAAUUACUGGGCGUAAAGCGUGCGCAGGCGGUUUCGUAAGACAGAGGUGAAAUCCCCGGGCUCAACCUGGGAACUGCCUUUGUGACUGCGAAGCUAGAGUACGGCAGAGGGGGGUGGAAUUCCACGUGUAGCAGUGAAAUGCGUAGAGAUGUGGAGGAACACCAAUGGCGAAGGCAGCCCCCUGGGUCGAUACUGACGCUCAUGCACGAAAGCGUGGGUAGCAAACAGGAUUAGAUACCCUGGUAGUCCACGCCCUAAACGAUGUCAACUAGGUGUUGGGUGGGUAAAACCAUUUAGUACCGGAGCUAACGCGU